Molecule: unclassified non-coding RNA, 143 nt
Filed under: soil metagenome
Description: partial internal transcribed spacer 1
Source: RNAcentral
UAAUAAGUGUUUUAUGGCACUUUUUAAAUCCAUAUCCACCUUGUGUGCAAUGUCAGUCGAUCUUCUUCAUGGAGAUCGACCAAACAUCAACCUUUAUCUUUUAACUCUUGUCUGAAAAUAUUAUGAAUAAACAAUUCAAAAUA